UACGGAAGGCAGCAGGGGGAAUAUUGCACAAUGGGCGAAAGCCUGAUGCAGCUAUGCCGCGUGUAUGAAGAAGGCCUUAGGGUUGUAAAGUACUUUCAUCGGGGAGGAAAAAACAAAACUAAUAAUUUUAUUUCUUGACGUUACCCGAAAAAGAAGCACCGGCUAACUCCGUGCCAGCAGCCGCGGUAAUACGGAGGGUGCUAGCGUUAAUCAGAAUUACUGGGCGUAAAGAGCACGUAGGUGGUUUUUUUAAGUCAGAUGUGAAAUCCCUGGGCUUAACCUAGGAACUGCAUUUUGAAAACUGAAAUACUAGAGUAUCGUAGAGGGAGGUAGAAUUCUAGGUGUAGCGGUGAAAUGCGUAGAUAUCUGGAGGAAUACCUGUGGCGAAAGCGGCCUCCUAAACGAAUACUGACACUGAGGGUGCGAAAAGCGUGGGGAGCAAACAGGGAUUAGAUACC
This 458-nucleotide ribosomal RNA is filed under the name uncultured bacterium. RNAcentral's name for it is "bacterial SSU rRNA". It matches the Rfam family "Bacterial small subunit ribosomal RNA", at positions 340 to 786 of the family's 1533-position model. The record is from RNAcentral.